RNAcentral lists this ribosomal RNA (253 nucleotides) under uncultured bacterium. Its description in RNAcentral is "partial 16S ribosomal RNA". It matches the Rfam family "Bacterial small subunit ribosomal RNA", at positions 524 to 776 of the family's 1533-position model. The record is from RNAcentral.
UACAGAGGGUGCAAGCGUUAAUCGGAAUUACUGGGCGUAAAGCGCACGCAGGCGGUUGGUUAAGUCAGAUGUGAAAGCCCCGGGCUCAACCUGGGAAUUGCAUUUGAAACUGGCCAACUAGAGUACGUGAGAGGGGGGUAGAAUUCCAAGUGUAGCGGUGAAAUGCGUAGAGAUUUGGAGGAAUACCAGUGGCGAAGGCGGCCCCCUGGCACGAUACUGACGCUCAUGCACGAAAGCGUGGGGAGCAAACAGG